Molecule: ribosomal RNA, 619 nt
Filed under: Rhizoctonia solani
Lineage: Eukaryota; Fungi; Basidiomycota; Agaricomycetes; Cantharellales; Ceratobasidiaceae
Description: eukaryotic LSU rRNA
Source: RNAcentral
GGUCUAUUUAUUUAGGCAUGUGCACACCUCCCUCUUUCAUCCCACACACACCUGUGAACUUGUGAGACAGUUGGGGAAUUUAUUUGUUUAUUUUUUGUAAUAAAAWGRAUUAAUAANUCAUUGAACCCUUCUGUCUACUCAACUCAUAUAAAAUCAAUUUAUCUUAAAUGAAUGUAAUGGAUGUAACACAUCUCAUACUAAGUUUCAACAACGGAUCUCUUGGCUCUCGCAUCGAUGAAGAACGCAGCGAAAUGCGAUAAGUAAUGUGAAUUGCAGAAUUCAGUGAAUCAUCGAAUCUUUGAACGCACCUUGCGCUCCUUGGUAUUCCCUUGGAGCAUGCCUGUUUGAGUAUCAUGAAAUCUUCAAAAUCAAUCUUUUUGUUAACUCAAUUAGUUUGAUUUUGGUAUUGGAGGUCUUUUGCAGCUUCACACCUGCUCCUCUUUGUGUAUUAGCUGGAUCUCAGUGUUAUGCUUGGUUCCACUCAGCGUGAUAAAUUAUCUAUCGCUGAGGACACUGUAAAAAGUGGCCAAGGUAAAUGCAGAUGAACCGCUUCUAAUAGUCCAUUGACUUGGACACUAUUAUUAUGAUCUGAUCUCAAAUCAAGUANGACUACCCGCUG